GCCUGGUUGACUCACUUGGUAGAGCAUGUGACUCUUGAUCACAGGAUUGUGAGUUCAAGCCCCAUGCCGGGCA
RNAcentral lists this transfer RNA (73 nucleotides) under Felis catus (domestic cat). It matches the Rfam family "tRNA". Rfam says of the family: Transfer RNA (tRNA) molecules are approximately 80 nucleotides in length. Their secondary structure includes four short double-helical elements and three loops (D, anti-codon, and T loops). Lineage: Eukaryota; Metazoa; Chordata; Mammalia; Carnivora; Felidae. The record is from Rfam by way of RNAcentral.